RNAcentral lists this ribosomal RNA (429 nucleotides) under Pseudomonadota bacterium. RNAcentral's name for it is "Proteobacteria bacterium partial 16S ribosomal RNA". It matches the Rfam family "Bacterial small subunit ribosomal RNA", at positions 355 to 776 of the family's 1533-position model. Lineage: Bacteria; Pseudomonadati; Pseudomonadota. The record is from RNAcentral.
UGGGGAAUAUUGGACAAUGGGCGAAAGCCUGAUCCAGCCAUGCCGCGUGUGUGAAGAAGGUCUUCGGAUUGUAAAGCACUUUAAGUUGGGAGGAAGGGCAGUAAGCGAAUACCUUGCUGUUUUGACGUUACCGACAGAAUAAGCACCGGCUAACUCUGUGCCAGCAGCCGCGGUAAUACAGAGGGUGCAAGCGUUAAUCGGAAUUACUGGGCGUAAAGCGCGCGUAGGUGGUUCGUUAAGUUGAAUGUGAAAGCCCCGGGCUCAACCUGGGAACUGCAUCCAAAACUGGCGAGCUAGAGUAGGGCAGAGGGUGGUGGAAUUUCCUGUGUAGCGGCGAAAUGCGUGGAUAUAGGAAGGAACACCAGUGGCGAAGGCGACCACCUGGGCUCAUACUGACACUGAGGUGCGAAAGCGUGGGGAGCAAACAGG